This 253-nucleotide ribosomal RNA is filed under the name uncultured bacterium. RNAcentral describes it as "partial 16S ribosomal RNA". It matches the Rfam family "Bacterial small subunit ribosomal RNA", at positions 524 to 776 of the family's 1533-position model. The record is from RNAcentral.
UACGUAGGGUGCGAGCGUUGUCCGGAAUUACUGGGCGUAAAGAGCUCGUAGGUGGUUUGUCGCGUUGUCCGUGAAAACUCACAACUCAAUUGUGGGCGUGCGGGCGAUACGGGCAGACUGGAGUACUGCAGGGGAGACUGGAAUUCCUGGUGUAGCGGUGGAAUGCGCAGAUAUCAGGAGGAACACCGGUGGCGAAGGCGCACAUCUGGCCCGAUACUGACGCUGAGGCGCGAAAGCUAGGGGAGCAAACGGG